Podarcis lilfordi (Lilford's wall lizard) is the source of this 170-nucleotide non-coding RNA. The record is from the annotation of a GenBank genome assembly. NCBI's taxonomy places the organism in Eukaryota, Metazoa, Chordata, Lepidosauria, Squamata, Lacertidae.
CAGGACUGAUGGAAUUCAAAAAUAAUUGAAUAAGAUGUAGAAGUAUGUUUAAUUACUGUUGAAAAUGAUAUGUUAAAAAACUAAUAAAAAUUUGUGUGUGUGUGUGUGUGUGUGUGUGUGUAAAGGUAAAGGGACCCCUGACCAUUUGGUCCAGUCGUGACCGACUCUGG